AUUUAAAUAGUUUAAUAAAAAUAACAAUUUGUGGGAUUGUAGAUGUAAUUAUUUACUUUAAGUA
Molecule: transfer RNA, 64 nt
Filed under: Hydrophilidae sp. BMNH 1274734
Lineage: Eukaryota; Metazoa; Arthropoda; Insecta; Coleoptera; Hydrophilidae
Description: tRNA-His
Source: RNAcentral